RNAcentral lists this ribosomal RNA (495 nucleotides) under uncultured bacterium. RNAcentral describes it as "bacterial SSU rRNA". It matches the Rfam family "Bacterial small subunit ribosomal RNA", at positions 30 to 512 of the family's 1533-position model. The record is from RNAcentral.
AUUGAACGCUGGCGGCAGGCUUAACACAUGUAAGUCGAGCGGUAACAGGAGAAAGCUUGCCUUCUUGCUGACGAGCGGCGGACGGGUGAGUAAUGCCUGNGAAAUUGCCCUGAUGUGGGGGAUAACCAUUGGAAACGAUGGCUAAUACCGCAUAGUAGCUUCGGCUUAAAGAGGGGGACCUUCGGGCCUCUCGCGUCAGGAUAUGCCCAGGUGGGAUUAGCUAGUUGGUGGGGUAAGGGCUCACCAAGGCGACGAUCUCUAGCUGGUCUGAGAGGAUGAUCAGCCACACUGGAACUGAGACACGGUCCAGACUCCUACGGGAGGCAGCAGUGGGGAAUAUUGCACAAUGGGCGCAAGCCUGAUGCAGCCAUGCCGCGUGUAUGAAGAAGGCCUUCGGGUUGUAAAGUACUUUCAGUGGUGAGGAAGGUAGUGUGUUUAAUAGGCACAUUGCUUGACGUUAGCCACAGAAGAAGCACCGGCUAACUCCGUGCCAGC